This 465-nucleotide ribosomal RNA is filed under the name uncultured bacterium. RNAcentral's name for it is "partial 16S ribosomal RNA". It matches the Rfam family "Bacterial small subunit ribosomal RNA", at positions 338 to 795 of the family's 1533-position model. The record is from RNAcentral.
CCUACGGGUGGCAGCAGUGGGGAAUAUUUCGCAAUGGGCGAAAGCCUGACGCAGCGACGCCGCGUGAGGGAUGAAGGUCUUCGGAUCGUAAACCUCUGUCAGCAGGGAAGAACGGUCACUGUGCUAAUCAGCAGUGAAUUGACGGUACCUGCAAAGGACGCACCGGCUAACUCCGUGCCAGCAGCCGCGGUAAUACGGAGGGUGCGAGCGUUAAUCGGAAUUACUGGGCGUAAAGCGCUCGUAGGCGGUAUGUCAAGUCAAGGGGGAAAUCCCCGCGCUCAACGUGGGAACUGCCUUUGAAACUGGGAAACUGGAGUGUGUGAGAGGAUAGUGGAAUUCCAGGUGUAGGAGUGAAAUCCGUAGAUAUCGGGAGGAACAUCAGUGGCGAAGGCGACUAUCUGGCACAUAACUGACGCUGAGGAGCGAAAGCGUGGGGAGCAAACGGGAUUAGAUACCCCGGUAGUC